UAAUGUUUUUUUUAUUUUUGAAGAAUAAUAAAGACAGUUAUUUUGUAUAAAAAUAUUUUUUCAAUUCCUGGAGUCACAACCCAGUUGGAAUGCAGAUCUGUGCAGACUUUGAAUGUAAUCGUAAACUUUGUUUCGGAUCGACUCUUUAGAAAGAUGGCUAAUUUGUUGUUCACGCUGGAGACAGAGCUUCACUCUUUCAUGGAGGUUUUGAUCAAAUCGAUCGUGAAUGAAGUUUCUGAAGUUUUCCGAGACAGGGUGGUUAAAAUCUCACAGUGUGUGGAGGACAAUUUCGGGAGUGAAAUGGCGCAGCUGAAGAAGGAAAACGAGAGCCUGAAGUGGAGACUGCAACUGUGGGAGAAGGAGUCGGGAGCAGGAGGAGAUCAGGGACAGACAGAUCAUGUUGGACACACGCUUCCCUGUGAAGUCACUGCAGAAAUAAAAGAAGAAAUAGACAUGAAACCGGAGCUGUCAGGCUCAGAGGCCAGUGCUCUCCCUGAUGCUGGGGAAAGGGCUCCUUUUGAACAGCAGCAUGGUGAGGAGGAGUGGGACACAAGUCUUAUGCAGGAAACUGCUGCAGAAGAGAAAGAGAAACUCAGUGAGCAGCACACAGAGAGCAGACAGAGUGUCGAGGAUCUGGACUGUGUGCACAUGAUGAAGACAGAACCUGAGAGUGAGACACACGGGCUCUUAGUAUCUGAUAUCAAUAUACAUGUUUUUAAUAAUGUUAAUACUUUUAAUACUGGAGAAGGAUUUAAUGAACCAGAGUCUGCGUCUGAUUUUGUACACAAAGAUGAAAAACUGAACGAACUAGAUGCUUUUAGUCCUUCAGAGCUAGAGAAAAAGCCCCAGAUGAUUCACACUGCUGAGCAGCACACUGAUGGACAUGAUGGGCAGAACACAGCUCAGGAUCAGCAAACAGAGCAAGAUCAUUACUGGGGGCAUUUGGAGAAUAAGAACCCAGAGCAAGGCCUAAAGAUCAGGAAGAAUUAUUCAAGGCCUUGCUCAGAGGGAACUGACAAACUGUCAUUACAUCACAGGGAAGAGCUGGGGUAUUAUCAGUCUAAUACUCCAAACCCCCACAAACACCUUCAGGCAGGAGAGAAACAAUUCAGAUGCCGUCAGUGUGGGAAGAGUUUUAGUCGACUAAAUCGAUUAAAAACCCACAAUUUUAUUCAUACAGGAAAGAAACCGUUCUGUUGCAGUCAGUGUGGGAAGAGAUUUUGUACAUCAAGCAGUUUAAAAAGACACCAGCACACUCACACUGGAGAGCGCCCAUUCGGGUGCAGUCAGUGUGGGAAGAGGUUUAGUCGGUCAAGUAACUUGAAAACACACCAGCGCAUUCACACAGGAGAGAAACCAUUCAUCUGCAGUCAGUGUGGGGAGGGUUUUCGAGACUCGGGUACCUUAAGAGUCCAUCAGCGCACUCACACAGGAGAGAAACCAUUUUGCUGCCAUCAGUGUGGGAAGAGUUUUAAUUACUUAAGCAGCCUUGAAACCCACCAUCUUAUUCACACAGGAGACAAACCAUUCUGUUGCAGUCAAUGUGGGAAGAGCUUUAGUCGAUCAGGUAAUUUAAAAUUCCAUCAACGCAUUCACACAGGAGAGAAACCAUUCUGCUGCACUCAGUGUGGGAAGAAUUUUAGUCGGUCAAAUGCCUUAAAAAGGCACCAGUGCAUUCACACAGGAGAGAGACCAUUCAUCUGUAGUCAGUGUGGGGAGGGUUUUAAAGACUCAAAAGCCUUGAGAGUCCAUCAGCGCAGUCACACAGGGGAGAAACCAUUCAGCUGCAAUCAGUGUGGGAAAAGUUUUAAUUACUUAAGCAGCUUUAAAAUCCAUCAGCGCACUCACACAGGGGAGAAACCUUUCCAUUGCAGUCAGUGUGGGAAGAGUUUUAGUCGGUCAACUAGCUUAAAGUUCCACCAGCGCAUUCAUACAGGAGAGAAACCAUUCAGAUGCAGUCAGUGUCGGAAGAGUUUUAGUCAAUUAAGAUAUUUAAAACGUCACCAGCACAUUCACAUAGGAGAAAAAAGCUUCUGUUGAAGUCAAUGUGGAAUCAAUUAGGCAACUUAAAAUCCCACUAGUGCAUUCAAGAAGUGGAGAAACCAGUCAUCUGUGAAGGGUUUUAUUAAAACCCACAGGAACACUCACACAGGAGCGAAGUCAUUCAGUUACUGUCAGUGUGGGGAGUGUUUAAGCGUGUUGAGUAAAUUGAAAAGGCACUAGUGUGUUUACUAGUUCAGUUGUAUUCUGUGUUGAAAGAGAAUUAAAGACUUGGUUAUCAUCAAAAAGCAAUUACACAAUCAUUCAGGAGAGUUGUUCAGCUGUAAUAACUGCAUGAAAGAUUUGCAAUGUUCAGAGCCCCAUUACAUUAGCCCAGGAGAGAAACCUUUCAGCUUCAGUGUGGGGAGAGUUCUUCUAGAACGUACCAGCUUAAUUUUUCCUGACAUUGCUUUUGUCUUUUCCGUUUCUAUGUGUAUGUGUGCAUUGCCUAUAAUAGGUCUACAUACCUUUUCCAUAAUAUAUUUUGUGGCAAAAACAAAACACAAGAAAUUAAGGCACACAAGAUCAGAAUUUAUACAAUUCUUUUAACUUUAUUUACACUUUGGAAUGCAAACUCUGAACAAAGAGUUUAAACAAAUGUUUAAAUGUUCUGUAAAGUAAUCACAUCUCCUCUUGUUAGACCUUUAACGGAUUAAGUUGUAAACACUUAAAAUGCUAGUUUUCUCUUAAUUUGGGGAUUUCAAAUCAGUCUACAGUAACUGGGUAUUUUUCGGUUAAAAUAUAAAUUUUAUAUUUUCUUUCUCCUUUAAGUGACAUCUCCACUUGAUGAGGCAUCCUAAUGAAAAGCAAGUAUUGAUGACAAUUUUUUAAAGGGGAAUUGUCAACACCUGAUUAGUGUCAGCUAGGACAUUAGUGUCAGUUGGGAGCUUCAGAGCAAGAAAGGAAGGGAUGUGUAGGGGGUCUGAGACACCUGAUCAAAGGAAUUGUCUAGUUAUCCUGGGUCAGUUCAGUUCUUGGUGAAUCAUUAUGAGCCAUCAGCUUUCCAGAAUAAAAGAGACAGAAGAGAGGAUAGACAGAAAGACACAAGGAGUAAGAGAAAAGGCAGCAACUGGAGGUGAGAGGUUCUUGUUUGAAUCAACUGUAAAGACCAGAUUUGUGUUAAAUAUUUUAACCUUGUCAUUCUUUAGUUUUAAGGAAACUGAUUUCCUGUGCAAAGUAUCCCUAGGUUAAAAAUGUGGUUGGUGGUCUGGUUAGUGGAUACAUAUUUUUAGAAUGUGGAGAUUAUAUUUGUAAGCAGAUGUUUGUAUUCUGCUUAGUUUAGAUAGCAGGUUUAUCUCAUGUUGGCCUAUGUAGGUGGUAUAUAGGAAUCUGAAUACUUGGUAACAGACUGUAUUUUUUUUCUUGUUGGCCAGAACAAAGGCCUCUGGGACACCUUGUUUGUAAAUAGAGUAACUGGUAUGUUUUAUGUUGUAUUUUGUGGUGUUUAUUGUGUGUUAUUGU
Non-coding RNA from Lepisosteus oculatus (spotted gar), 3501 nucleotides. The record is from the annotation of a RefSeq genome assembly. NCBI's taxonomy places the organism in Eukaryota, Metazoa, Chordata, Actinopteri, Semionotiformes, Lepisosteidae.